CAACUUUCAACAACGGAUCUCUUGGUUCUGGCAUCGAUGAAGAACGCAGCGAAAUGCGAUACGUAGUGUGAAUUGCAGAAUUCAGUGAAUCAUCGAAUCUUUGAACGCACAUUGCGCCCUUUGGUAUUCCAAAGGGCAUGCCUGUUCGAGCGUCA
Molecule: ribosomal RNA, 155 nt
Filed under: Curvularia lunata
Lineage: Eukaryota; Fungi; Ascomycota; Dothideomycetes; Pleosporales; Pleosporaceae
Description: 5.8S ribosomal RNA
Rfam family: 5.8S ribosomal RNA
About the family: 5.8S ribosomal RNA (5.8S rRNA) is a component of the large subunit of the eukaryotic ribosome. It is transcribed by RNA polymerase I as part of the 45S precursor that also contains 18S and 28S rRNA. Functionally, it is thought that 5.8S rRNA may be involved in ribosome translocation.
Source: RNAcentral